AUUGAACGCUGGCGGCAGGCCUAACACAUGCAAGUCGAACGAGUGGCGGACGGGUGAGUAACGCCUGGGAAACUGCCUGAUGGAGGGGGGUCACUACUGGAAACGGUGGCUAAUACCGCAUACCAUCAGCUGUGCCCAGAUGGGAUGAGCUGGUUGGGGGGGUAAGGGCUGACCAAGGCGACGAUCCCUAGCUGGCCUGAGCGGAUAACCAGCCACACUGGGACUGAGACACGGUCCAGACUCCUACGGGAGGCAGCAGUGGGGAAUAUUGCGCAAUGGGCGCAAGCCUGAUGCAGCCAUGCCGCGUGUAUGAAGAAGGCCUUCGGAUCGUAAAGCACUUUUGGCAGGGAGGCGUUACCCGAAGAAGAAGCAACGGCUAACUACGUGCCAGCCGCCGCGGUAAUAC
RNAcentral lists this ribosomal RNA (406 nucleotides) under uncultured bacterium. RNAcentral describes it as "partial 16S ribosomal RNA". It matches the Rfam family "Bacterial small subunit ribosomal RNA", at positions 29 to 526 of the family's 1533-position model. The record is from RNAcentral.